Molecule: ribosomal RNA, 497 nt
Filed under: uncultured bacterium
Lineage: Bacteria
Description: partial 16S ribosomal RNA
Rfam family: Bacterial small subunit ribosomal RNA
Source: RNAcentral
GAUGAACGCUGGCGGCGUGCCUAAUACAUGCGAGUCGAGCGAACAGACGAGGAGCUUGCUCCUCUGACGUUAGCGGCGGACGGGUGAGUAACACGUGGAUAACCUACCUAUAAGACUGGGAUAACUUCGGGAAACCGGAGCUAAUACCGGAUAAUAUAUUGAACCGCAUGGUUCAAUAGUGAAAGACGGUUUUGCUGUCACUUAUAGAUGGAUCCGCGCCGCAUUAGCUAGUUGGUAAGGUAACGGCUUACCAAGGCGACGAUGCGUAGCCGACCUGAGAGGGUGAUCGGCCACACUGGAACUGAGACACGGUCCAGACUCCUACGGGAGGCAGCAGUAGGGAAUCUUCCGCAAUGGGCGAAAGCCUGACGGAGCAACGCCGCGUGAGUGAUGAAGGUCUUCGGAUCGUAAAACUCUGUUAUUAGGGAAGAACAAAUGUGUAAGUAACUAUGCACGUCUUGAUGGUACCUAAUCAGAAAGCCACGGCUAACUACGUG